This 506-nucleotide ribosomal RNA is filed under the name uncultured bacterium. RNAcentral describes it as "partial 16S ribosomal RNA". It matches the Rfam family "Bacterial small subunit ribosomal RNA", at positions 29 to 523 of the family's 1533-position model. The record is from RNAcentral.
AGUGAACGCUGGCGGUAGGCCUAACACAUGCAAGUCGAACGGCAGCACAGGAGAGCUUGCUCUCUGGGUGGCGAGUGGCGGACGGGUGAGGAAUACAUCGGAAUCUACUUUUUUGUGGGGGAUAACGUAGGGAAACUUACGCUAAUACCGCAUACGACCUACGGGUGAAAGCAGGGGAUCUUCGGACCUUGCGCGAUUGAAUGAGCCGAUGUCGGAUUAGCUAGUUGGCGGGGUAAAGGCGCACCAAGGCGACGAUCCGUAGCUGGUCUGAGAGGAUGAUCAGCAACACUGGAACUGAGACACGGUCCAGACUCCUACGGGAGGCAGCAGUGGGGAAUAUUGGACAAUGGGCGCAAGCCUGAUCCAGCCAUACCGCGUGGGUGAAGAAGGCCUUCGGGUUGUAAAGCCCUUUUGUUGGGAAAGAAAUCCAGCUGGUUAAUACCCGGUUGGGAUGACGGUACCCAAAGAAUAAGCACCGGCUAACUUCGUGCCAGCCGCCGCGGUAA